RNAcentral lists this ribosomal RNA (253 nucleotides) under uncultured bacterium. Its description in RNAcentral is "partial 16S ribosomal RNA". It matches the Rfam family "Bacterial small subunit ribosomal RNA", at positions 524 to 776 of the family's 1533-position model. The record is from RNAcentral.
UACAGAGGUCUCAAGCGUUGUUCGGAUUCAUUGGGCGUAAAGGGUGCGUAGGUGGCGCCGUAAGUCAGGUGUGAAAUCUCGGGGCUCAACCCCGAAACUGCAUUUGAUACUGCGGUGCUCGAGUACUGGAGAGGAGACUGGAAUUUACGGUGUAGCGGUGAAAUGCGUAGAUAUCAAGUGGAACACCAGUGGCGAAGGCGAAUCCCUGGAAAAUACCUGACACUGAGGCACGAAAGCUAGGGGAGCAAACAGG